AAUGGUAACAGAGGAACAAAGUACCUUGGGGAAUGUAGUAGUCCUUCUCUUCUGAGAACCAGGUACAUUCACCACAUGAUGUUAUGUGGAAUACCAAUAACCGAAAAUCACAAAACCAUGACAAAACCAUAACAUUUGUGGAUGAUAGGAUCCAGAGAGACCUAGACAGGCUUGAGCAGUGGACCAUGUAAACCUCAAGAUGUUAAAAAAAUCCAGAAGGAAGGUCUUACACCUAGAUUGUGGCAACCUCCGCUAUCAAUAGAAGCUGGGGGAUGAAAGGAUGGAGCACAGCCCUGCUAAAAAGGACCUGGUGGUACUGGUGGAUGGCAAGCUGGACAUAACCCAGGAAUGUGUACUCACAACCCAGAAAGCCAACAGGAUCCAGGGCUGCAUCAAGAGAAGAGUGGUCAGCACGUCAAGGGAGGUGAUCCUGCCCCUCUGCUUUGCGCUGGUGAGACCUCACCUGAGAUGUGGAGUCCUUAGUACAGGGGAGACGUGGACCUGUUGGAGCAUGUCCUGAGAAAGGCCACAAAAAUGAUCCAAGGGAUGGAACACCUCCCCUACAAGGACAGGCUGAGAAAGGUGGGGCUGUUUAGCUUGGAGAAGUGAGGGCUCUGGGGAGACCUAAGAGUGGCCUUUCGGUAUCUAAAAGGGGGCUGUAAGAAAAAAGGAGACAGACUCCUUAGUGAGGUUUAUUGUGAUAGGACAAGGGGAAACAAUCACAAACUAAAAGAGGGGAGAUUUAGACUGGAUAUAAGGAAAGAAUUUUUUAGUAAGGCUGGUGUGGCACUGGAACAGGUUGCCCAGAGAGGUGAUGGAUGCCUUGACCUUGAAGACAUUCAAGGUCAGGCUGAAAGGGGCUCUGAGCAACCUGAUCUAGCUGUGUCCAGGUGUCCCUGUUCAUUGCAGGGGAGUUGGACUAGAUAAAAUUUGAAGAUUGCUUCCAACUCAGACGAUUCUGUUAUUCUAUGAUUUUUCAAAUGUGUUUUGAAAAACACAUGUUGCAGUGACAGUCAAGUCCAUAAGCAAUGUUGAAAAUACUGUCUAACUUUAUUUUAUUCCAAUAUCUCGUUAAAUAAUAGCAGAAUUGUUCUAUAGCAGUACAGGCUCUUUCCAUUAUAGCAGUUGUCUCUGUAUAACGUUCUCUGUGUUGAAAAUGAGACAUUUCAUAGGCUGCGAGAAAUAAUGCAGCUUUCAAAAAGGGUCAGCUUUCAUUUCAUUUUAGAGCUACCGUAAAAGUGUAAAAUAAUCAAAACUAUUUCUGCCUGCUUCCAUACCUAAACACAGCCCAUUUCAGCUCCUUUAAUGCUUGCUUUUGAUGGCAGCACUUGAUUUUUUAGUAGAUUUUUAUGGACACAAGCCAAGUUCAAUCAGUUCUUGCGCAGAGAUUAUUUGCAGUCCUUCUGAAAUUAUAUGUUAAAAGAGCUGAUAGACUAAUAGAAGCUAGUUCAAAUUUAUUAAAAUGACUAAGAUGAUGGCUGUAUUUAGUUAAUUUUAGUGAUUUCCCAGAAAAUAUUUUGACUAAUUGCUUCUUUAUAAACAUAGUUCGUGUGCAGUGAAUCAAUAAGGAAUCAUAUGACUACAUCAUACUUCUGACUACAAAGUGUUGUGCUUUAAUGUUUUUCCUUCUCUAAAGGAUAGUCACAUCUGUAAGUUUUUGUUAUCACUGCUGGCAAGCCUGAAAUGCAAAGACCAGGAUAAGAAAAUCUUUUGAAUAGAAAAUAAGAACUAAAUCCACAUUAUACUGAAGGGAGCAACACCUGCUGACAGUGAGUUCUUUCAGCCAGAAGAAGACAAGAGAAGAACGUCGGCAGAGGAAGAAGGGCAGUGAGGUAACGUGGUCAGCCUGAUGAGACACAACUUUAAAACAGCAGCAAACUGAGCAAUGGCAGCGUCACCAGUCCAAUUUCUUAGUGAGUUAUCUAUCCAUUUUCCUGCUAGUCUGACACAAGCUAGUCUCCGCAUAUGAGAAAAAGUUAAGAGGGAAAAAAAGCCAGAAGGCAUGAACUGUGGUGGACAAGAUUAAAGAAAAAAAAAAGUGUAGGUCAUUAACUUCAUUGGAGCAAUAUCCAAUAACCAUUUCAGAGGAUUCAAAUACCCUGCAGCUAGUGUAUUUGGCUAAAUGAUAUUGGAAAUCACAAAAUGAGAUCAUUUCAGGAAAAGAAAAGAAUGCAAUAGUGAUUAAAGAUAAUUACUUUGUAAAUGUCUUUAAACACUGAAAAUACCAUCCCUGCCUAUUAAUUCUGCCUUUUUACUCACCUAGCCUUCUUUGUAGAAGUUUCAUGAAACUCUCGGUAUCUGAGGAGGAAAACAAGAAGACAAAAGUUUCUGUAAUUUGAGGAUCAGUGCUGUGGCCUCAAUGGAAAGGGCUUUCUGCAGAGUUUUCUUUAAGACACGGGUACUAUGGAAGAUGCAGAGAUGACAACUGCAAAGAUCACAGGCAAGACAGUAGUAAGACACUGAUGAAUUGGUAGGGUUAGGGUUAGACACUGAUGAAUUGGUAGUCUGUUUACUACCAUAAUUUUACUCUAAACAUAACAAUCACUGAAAUACAGAGUGAUUUCCCACACAGCGUGCUUGCAAAACAAAGUAUUACACACUGUUUGGAAUAUUAAAAGUCUUCAUUUCUUGUAUAAAUGUCAGAAAUCAGAUUGUCUUGGAAAUGUUUAAUUUAACACUACCACUUAAGAUGAUAACCUACAGUAGAGUGCAGCUUCCACCUCCAUCAGUAGGUAUUGUUACCACCUGAGAAUUGAUUCAGGACCUCUCUGCAAAGAAAUUAAUGGAUACUUAUAGAAAGUCAUAAACAGUCCUGGUAUUAAUUCUUUAACUGUCAUAGGCAUGUCUGUGUAGAAAUCCAGACAAAAGCAAUAUGAAGAAAUGAAAUGGAAAGUGAGAUAGAAAAUGAAUGGGACAAGAGAAAAAAAAGACUAUGAGAAACAACAAAAGAGACAUUUAACAUUUUCCUCACAGGCAAGAUGUGUAAAAAAAAUACAAAUGCAAUAUUCCUUAGGGCAUAAACUAAGAUGAUUAAGAACUUCAAGAAAGGGGAGACUAACAAUUAGGUCUUAGGUUCAUUGAUUACUUAGGCAGAAGUGUCUCCCCCGUAGAAUUUAUUAUUUUAUAAGGCCCUCAUAAAAACCCAAAGGAUGUCAAGUAAAGGUGGGUCUUGUGAGCUCAUCAGGUGAGGCUAUGAGUCUGAUUAACAUAAUGCCUUUCCUUUAAAUCAAUGGAAAAAUAAUGAUACUCUUUAAUACUGCUGAAAAUUGUUCGUGAUUGUUCAUCAGGAUUUUAAAGUGCAGAGAUGUAAUAUGCACAGUAAAGCUUGCCAUGUAUGUGCAUGCUUGUCUGAGUCCUAACUUCCUAUUUUUUUCAAGCAGGCAUGGAUCGGAAAGAAGGGUCACCUGUGUCUCUGCAAUUGUAAACUAUUCAUUUUCAGGGAGAUUUCUAAUUAAGAUUAGCAACACUUAACUGUUCUUAUUUGUUUCUAGAAGUACUGAAUAUUGAAUAUUGAAUUUGAGCUUAGAAACUUGAAUUAUGAAUUUAGAUGUUGGCCUAGGUUCUGGACAACUUUUACUCCUGCCAUGGCAAAGUUGGCCAAGAUAUUUCCUGGGAAAUUUCCUGGAUAAGGAAGCCCUGUUGAUAUACAGCUGGUAUAUCAUAGUUUGAUGUUUUUCUCUGAGAAUUCAGUCCCUCUGAAUAAAAAUAGUCACUGAAAGGGAGGCCCAAGUGGAACAGCUAAAGCCCACUUGGAAUUGAACCUGGCAAAGGACGUGAGAGGUAACAAGAAGGACUUAUGUGGAUGUAUCAGCAGCAAAAGGAAGACUAAGGAAAAUCCACAUUGCUGAAUGGGACAGAGUUACAAAAGGCACAGUGACAAAAGACAUGGUGACAAUAGACACAGAGAUGGCUGAGGUAGUCAACACCUCCUUUGCCUGUCUUUAUUGGUAAGAGCUCCCUUUAGGAAUUCCAGGUGCUGAGACCACUAGGAAAACCUGGAGGAAGGAAAAUUUACCUUUAUUGAAAGAGGACUGCUGGACACAUGCUCCCUAGGCUCUGGUAGAUGAACCUGUGAAUGCUGAAGUAGGAUGAAGAUGGAGCAAAUCCUCCUGGAGAAGAACAGGGUAUUAAACUACUGGAAUAUAUGCAGCAGUAAAUCAAGAAAAGAUACUUGUUCCAGCUUGCAACUGAUGAAGCAGUUUGUUCACAAAGCCUUCGAUGAUUUCCUGUACCUCAAGACAGUGUUCGCUCUGCUCAUCACCUGAAAACAGCUACAGGAAAUGUUCAUUGCUAGUUUUAGCCAACGAGAUCCACAGUAUUCCCCUCUCUCUUUUCUGUUACUAAAAAGGAGAAGUAUGAAAAAUCCAACUUACUUUAUCUGAACAUGGUAAUUCUAGGUUGUAGAUCAGAGGGAGUUUUACAGAGAUGAAGUGAAAACUAAAGGAAGAUGAAGUACUUGAGAAUUAUGCUAGUAAAUUAAAUCUACUGAGAAUAUUCCUGGAUCCUGCCACCAGCUGACACAGAAAAGCCUGCUCCGAUCGCUGUUAUCCUGGGAAAUAGAGUGGCUGCAUGAAAACUACCCAUUGGAAGCCUUCACUGGAAUUUUCUAACUCCAGUAACACACCCAGGAAGUCUUUGGAUGAGUUACAGAUGGCACAUAACAAAAUCUUGCAGAAAACCCCCUAAAAGCUUGCUAACACAGGCAGUUAAGUUCCACAACUCAGGAAAAGCACUACAUGUUGCAUAAAGAGCCAGUAGUGUGUCUCUAGUAUUAGAGCUGCAUGAAAUAUGUAUACAAGGGUUACUCCAAAAUUAAUGUAUCCUAUUUUAUUAUGUUGGCCCAUGAAAUGAGAUGGUUGUUGGUGAUAUGGCAUUAGAGGUUGAAUGUUCCUGCCAGUAUUCCAUUACAUUUUGUUGCUGGGUGACAUAUGGCAGCAGAAGGACAGUCUGACAAAAUGGCAUCUGACAUGGAAUUCCGUAUGAAGCAAAAGUGUGUCACUGAAUUCUUCCAUGUAGGAAAAAUUGCACCCUCAGCAAGUUUGCAGAUGACACCAAGCUGUGUGGUGCAGUCGACAUGCCUGAGCAAUGGGAUGCUAUACAGGGACACCUAGACAGGCUCGAGCAAUGAGCCAAGGGGAGCCACAUGAGGUUCAACAAAGCCAAGUGCAAGGUCUUGCAUCUGGGUUUUGGCAACUCUCACUAUCAAUACAAGCUGGGACAUGUAAGGAUGGAGCACAGCUCUGUUGCAAAGGACCUGAGGGUACUGGUGGAUGGCAAGUUGGACAUGAGCCAGCAGUAUGCCCUCACAUCCCAAAAAGCCAACCAUAUCCUGGACUGCAUCAAGAGAAGCGUGGUCAGUAGGUGGAGGAAGGUGAUCCUGCACUGCUGAGACCUCACCUGGAGUACUGUGUCCAGAUGUGGAGUCCUCAGUACAGGAGAGACAUGGACCUGUUGGAAUACAUCCAGAACAGGGCCACAGAAAUGAUCCAAGGGAUGGAACACCUCUCCUAUGAGGACAGGCUGAGAGAGCUGGGGCUGUUCAGCCUGAAGAAGAGAAGGCUCCACAGAGGUCUGAGAGCAAUCUUUCAGUACUGAAAGGGGGAGUGUAAGAAAGAUGGGGACAGACUCUUUAGCAGCGUCUGUUGUGAUAGGACAAGGGGAAAUGGUUACGAAUUAAAAGAGGGGAGAUUUACACUGGAUAUACGGAAAGAAUUUUUUAAUAAGGGUAGUGUGGCACUGGAGCAGGUUGCCCAGAGAGGUGAUGGAUGCCUUGUCCUUGGAGACAUUCAAGGUCAGGCUGAAAGGGGCUCUGAGCAACCUGACCUAGCUUUAGGUGUCCCUAUUCGCUGAAGGGGAGUUGGACUAGACGAUCUUAAAUGGUCCCUUCCAACUCAAACGAUUCUGUGAUUCUAUAUAUAAUAUAAUAUAAUGUAAUGUGUGUGUAUAUAUAUACAUAAGUUGUAUAUACAAUGUACAUAUAAUGCAUACAAUUUUGCUUCUCUCUUCUAGUAGAAGUUCAUCUAAGAAAGAAAAGAAUUAUCCCCUCAGAAAUUUUACUUCAGGCUUAAAAAAUGUUGGAUUCUAGUGCUGUAAAAAUGUGAUUUCCCUCAAAGGAAAGCAUCAUAAUUUUAUUAAGUAGCUGGGGUAAGUUAUUACAAGCCCUUCUGACUAGCUGAAUGUUUUUUUCUUUUUGUCCUAGAUCAUAUUUCCUUCCUCAAAAGUAAUUGGCAGGUGCUCACAAAGAUAUGAAUCCAGCUCACAACAUUCAGAGUGGAAAAUGGCAAUUGAAAUGGAAGAAACUAGCUUUUUUUCUUGGGAUGUUUACUUUUUAUAAAUCUCCUUAUAACUGUAUUAAAAAAUAAUCAGACAUUACACAAGACUAAUGAAUAGCUGUAUUAGCCCAAACUUUUUCCCUUGAACAGCACUCAAAGGUAAAUUUAUGUUUCUGUGAUCCUAGAAAGCCAGAGGCCAGUUUAGUUUCUCUUAUGAGUAAGACUAGCUUGAGGUUAUCCAAAUUUGCACAGCAAAGCCAUUACUCUAGCACUCAAACUGUUUUGCCAAUACUAAUGCUGCUUCUAGUGACCUUUCACUGUUGGUGGUGGUGGUGUAGCCACAGUAGUUUAAAUAUAAAUAUACCCACAGAAUGGCAAUAGUUAUAUAGUUGAACUAACUGGUAGAAUUGGAGGAAAGCAAACGCUUUUAAAUGUUAAUCCAUUAUGGGGCAACUAUUAGCAUCUCUCUGCCACUGAAUGAAGAAAAGCUGGGGGAGGACAGAGAGAGUGAAGCAAAACUGAUAAACAGAAUAAUCUCACUUCGUAGCUUGUACUGUCUUGAAUUUUUGUUGGCUGAGGAGUCCCUCUACCACAGUUACUGGCAAAACUUCAUGGCUAUCUGGAUAUCAAAUGAAGCUGUUAAUCCUGGUCAGAACAUUUAUUUAACUUCUUUGAUAAACAUCAUUAAGAGUGGUUCAGUGAUGCUUCUGAGGACACUGCAGUGAUUCACCCCUGCCCCACUCGAUGUGACACUGUUUACUUAUCAAUUGUGUAAUGUUCUUUCCUUUUGCAUUUACAGAUUCAAUGAAGCUUAAGAAUUGAUCACUUACUUAUUUGUUUAUUUUUCAUAGCUUGUUACUGCCAGUCACAUAAUUAAUCAUUUCUUUUUAAAAUCCGUUAGGCAAGUUUGAUUCUUAGACCCACUAGUGCUGACAGUUGCACAUCCUGACUACAGGGUAUGCAAAGAAGUAGCCUGGAGUACCCUUCCAAAAAUAAAAACAAACAAACAAAAAACCAAACGAAAAAACAGUGAUGGCAAAAGCACCCAUACUUCAAAUGCCAAACUUAGUCGAUUCUGAAUUGAAUUAUAGAAUCGAAAGUACGAGUCUAGAAUCAGUGAACAAGAAUAUCUCUUUUGAUCUAUUUUUCUAGGUUUUUAUUCUUUCUAAAUUUAACUAACUCUAAUCAUGGAUGAAAUGACCAGGAUGGUAUGUGUUUUUGUACUUUAUAUCUUUCCAGGAACCAGCUGGCAUUGUAAUCCAAGUACUAUUUUUUACAAUACCAGGAUCAAUACUGAAAAUGGGAGAAGUAAUAAGCACUUUCCCAUAAAGUCAGAACACCAUCUACCAAAUAAUAAAUAGGCUGAACCAUUGCUGUGUUUUCUGGAAUGCUACUUAUCCACAAGGACCUCUUUAAUUAUUUCUUUGGUUUUAUGGGUCUAUCUACAGUCAUUUACUUUUCCUUCACAGUCUGUUACCCAGGGUAAUUCUAACUUUAAUGAGACUGGGAUGUUUUGCUACAGAAGUAGGGGGACAACUUAGAGGCCCUGCUGAGAGCAUUUUCCUCUUGCUAGCAGUGAAAAUCUCUUCUGCUGAGGCUCCUGAACUCCUAUGUGAAAUAGCUGACAGGACUCUGAGGGCACUGAGAGACCUUGGUGCCUCAUCUGGGCCCCCAUCCACCCACCCUGUCCACAGCCAUGAGCCCCAUUUCACCUAAAUCCUGGACCCCUUGUCUGCAUCACUGCUACACUGUACAUCUGCCUGUUUCCAGUCCUGUCCACUGCCAUUCCUGAGCUGUUGAUUUGAUUUGCUGGAUGGCUGCUAGGCCUGAUUUGUUUCCUAAGGUUUGUCUGGUUCAUUGGACUCUCAGUGGACAUCUCUCCUAUGCUUACCCUGCCCAGAUACUGUGGACCUGUGCACUGAUGGAGACUGCUGCCUUUGCUUAGCUGACCUCAGCUGUGGCUUCACCUCCUUGUGGAGCAGAUUGCCCCUUUCUGCUCCACAGCAGUAGUUUUGAUAAGGAAUGGGGCUUAGUCUGGGGACCUUUUGUUAAUCCAGUGGCUGUUUCCAUCUUGUAAAGCUAAAUUCAACAGGACACAUGGCCUACAGCAUCGUGGGAGAUAUACUUCUAUCCCCAGAGCAGCUGGGCCCCUGGUACACAGUUCAGCCACAUCAUCAAGGCUGAUUUGGACUGGAAUGCCUCCCAAAUCCCACUUCUGUCAUUUCAUUUUAAGAUGAAAGCCUUGCUGAAUUCUAUUCCAAUGGCCUACUAUUCCUGUGAUUUAUCAUUACAGAAAUUAUUUAUCCUAAUCAUUAAAUGCCUCAAAAAAAAAAAAAAAAGCAUAUACAUCAAGUUAGCACCCACAAAUUUCAGUGAUAACUCCCUAUUGUUUCAAGGGAAGCAUAGGCUAAAGUUUUUUAUGCUUUUAAAGACUUCAUCUGCACAAGCAGUCAUGUAAUCUGUUAGUUUAAAUGAUCAAACAGAUGGCAGUGGAAGCAGAGAGGGUUUAAACAGAACUUUCAGAAUAAUCUGCCGUGGGUCUGAACGAGAACUUUUAUUUGGUUGGAAUAAGUGUGAGCGUGAAUGAGUACAUGUAUUUUUUAACCAAACUGUCUAUGUGCCACAAUUUAUGUAGUAUGAGAAACUAAAAAUGAGCUCAGUAUGAAGGCAAAGCUUGGAGUCAUUCUUCAACAGAGCUAUUUUUAAAAGACAAAGAGGCAAAGAUAAUGAAAGGAGCAAACAGACUUUAAGACAGGUGUUUUAUUGCUUUUCUUUGUUGAAAAGCAAGAACAAAGAUGUAAAUUUUGCACAUUGUCCUUUUGCUUCGAUUCUAUUUUUGUGUUUCCACCCUUUCUGUUUAAACACGUCAGCAUCAGUUCCAUCACAGCAUGUCUAGUUUGCUAUUAGCUUAAAUGUACUCCUUUGAGACAAUAAGCUGAAAAGUUCUGUGGAAAAUCAGUGAUCCUAGCCAGAUUGUAUGGGAGAAGAAUUAAUCAUAAAUAAUAAUUAUAAUUUGAGAGUAGCAGCUCUCCUCAAACUAGAGGCUGGGAAUUUUUCAUGAUGCUAAUAUUGUUUCAUUGCUGUUUUGUUUCUUAACUACCUCUGAAAAAAUAGGCAAAUCUUUCUUUCUGUCAGGAAAUUCUCAUCAUAAGCGUAUUGCACAUACGGGCCCACUUCACACAAAGCAUGAGAAUACACAAUUUGCAUUUUAAACUACCUGCUUUAACCAUUUUAUUAUAGACUAUGUCUAUUAAACCUUAAAGUGUUGCUUUUUGGAAAUACAGUAGUAACGUGUAGUAAGAAGAUAUGUAAAACCUUCCAGCAUCUGGCUUAUGAGGGCUAGCUAAUGUUUUAAAUGUUGAUUAAACAUAUAUUUUUAUGACUUCAUUUGGUUUUUAUUAUAUUUUAGAAAAUUAUCAAUAAUGCUGUGGUCAUCUUUAUACAAGUAAAUGCUAUAAGUUUUGUUUUCCUUAUUAUUGUGUUGGUUUUUUUAAAAGUUGUUCCUGAUUUUUUUUAUGAGUUUCAGCAAUUGGCCUAAAGUUUCCGGUCCAAUUUUUCACAUGGAUCUUAUUAAAACAAGAUUGUACUAGA
This is a long non-coding RNA of Numida meleagris (helmeted guineafowl), 9863 nucleotides long. RefSeq lists it as uncharacterized. Lineage: Eukaryota; Metazoa; Chordata; Aves; Galliformes; Numididae. The transcript has 4 exons. The record is from RefSeq and is a predicted model, not a curated record.